Long non-coding RNA from Oreochromis niloticus (Nile tilapia), 796 nucleotides. RefSeq lists it as uncharacterized. The transcript has 3 exons. Lineage: Eukaryota; Metazoa; Chordata; Actinopteri; Cichliformes; Cichlidae. The record is from RefSeq and is a predicted model, not a curated record.
GAGCAGUGUGUAGGGACGGUACCUUGCUCAGGGUUACCUCAGGGUAGCCGUUCAGUGGAUUCGAACCCCCGACCUUCCGAUCACGGGGCGACCACUCUACCUACUGAGCUAUCCCUGCCCCGUCAGGUAAGAGUUUUUGGCAAGAUUUGAUAGGUUUUAUAAAGGUAUUGCAACACAAAGUAGGUACUUUCGGCUGCUCCUUUAUUUCCCAUAGAGGGUCACCACAGCGGAUGGAUCCAUGUUUGACUUGGCACAGAUUUUACACUUCAUGCCCUUUCUGAUGCAUUUAUCUAGGCUUGGAACUGGAACUACGAGUACACAAGCUAGUGAACCCCCAAGGCUGGUUUUGUGUCUCCAAGAACUGAAACAAGGAUCUUUCACAUGUAAGGCCUUUCUUUUCAUAGAGAAUAAUGAGCUCACUGUACUUGUGAGCCUUCUUCAGGACAUACUCGCUCUCCUCGAUGUGGCAAUGAUUGUUCUCCAGACGAAGAAGGGGGGACACGAGAGCCACGUUUGUCUGGAUGAGGUACCUACUUCACUCAAUCAACACCGGACCCACAGUGCUGCAGCUGUCACGCCUCAAUGACAGUCAAACUAACACCGCUUCGAACUGUGAUCCAGUUUGUCUUAAGUUACUUUAAACCUGCCAAUUAGCUGUAGCUGUAGCCCCUAUGGCUACAUAUCAAGUUGCCAAAUGUUGCUGCCAGUUUCUACUAGUGAGAAAACGGAAGUGAAUCACAUGUGCUCACAGUCAUUGUCAUUGAGAGUAGAGCCAUCCUUUGUCAGUUUUUGGAAA